AUUUGUAAAACUUUAAAUGGCGCUAUUUUUAUGACAUUUGAAGACUAUUGUGAACGGGUUUAAAAAGACGAUUUCAGUGCAACGAUUUAUAUAUCCUGAGAUGCUACUGUGAAUUAAAACCGCUGAGUCAGCAUACACGAAAAAUUAUUUGUGCCAAGAAGAGAUAACGGAGAAGAAGAGAUGAUGUAUAAAAUGUAACAAAAAUAUUUUAGGUUAAAAAGAAGUGACCACUUGUCCGAAUAUAGAAGCACUGUAAAUAGAAGAGCAUGUUCAAAU
This is a long non-coding RNA of Teleopsis dalmanni, 276 nucleotides long. RefSeq lists it as uncharacterized. The record is from RefSeq and is a predicted model, not a curated record. Lineage: Eukaryota; Metazoa; Arthropoda; Insecta; Diptera; Diopsidae. The transcript has 2 exons.